GCGCGGCGGAGAAAGGCUGAGAGAGAAGGCGUGUACGGUGGCUCCCGUGGUCCAAAUCCUGUCGUUGUCUCGCGUUACCUCGCCACGGCGCCCGAGGGGAAUGCUUCCGACUCUGGAUACCCAGGGCUGGCAGGAAAACGCGGCAAUCAGUGAAGAAUAACGUCUCACAACGAAGAGGUUGGGGUGUUUUUUUUUUUUUUCUCAUCAGCAAAAUAAAUGGAAAUUCUGAUUCUCAAAUGCAUAUGGCAAUCAAGGGGCCCCAAAUAGCCAAACAAUCUUG
This is a long non-coding RNA of Myotis lucifugus (little brown bat), 280 nucleotides long. RefSeq lists it as uncharacterized. The transcript is spliced from 2 exons. Lineage: Eukaryota; Metazoa; Chordata; Mammalia; Chiroptera; Vespertilionidae. The record is from RefSeq and is a predicted model, not a curated record.